Molecule: non-coding RNA, 71 nt
Organism: Ictidomys tridecemlineatus (thirteen-lined ground squirrel)
Lineage: Eukaryota; Metazoa; Chordata; Mammalia; Rodentia; Sciuridae
Source: Rfam
AGAGCUGUAGCUCAGUGGUUGAGUGCUGCCCGACAUGCAUGAGGUCCUGGGUUCAAUCUCCAGCACCACUA